RNAcentral lists this ribosomal RNA (322 nucleotides) under uncultured eukaryote. Its description in RNAcentral is "partial 18S ribosomal RNA". It matches the Rfam family "Eukaryotic small subunit ribosomal RNA", at positions 1470 to 1796 of the family's 1831-position model. The record is from RNAcentral.
CCCUUAGAUGUUCUGGGCCGCACGCGUGCUACACUGAGUGGAUCAGCGGGUCAGGUUGCGCGAAAGUGUUUCCUAAUCUUGAAAUCCGCUCGUGAUGGGGAUUGACGGUUGCAAUUUUCCGUCAUGAACGAGGAAUACCUUGUAAGCGCGGGUCAUCAUCCCGCGCUGAAUACGUCCCUGCCCUUUGUACACACCGCCCGUCGCUCCUACCGAUUGAGUGGUCCGGUGAGGCUUUGGGAUCUGAGCAAAGGGAGCGUUUCGCUCGUUUUGCCCGGAAAACUCAGUCGAACCUUAUCAUUUAGAGGAAGGAGAAGUCGUAACA